Molecule: small RNA, 65 nt
Rfam family: rydB RNA
About the family: This family consists of several bacterial sequences from E. coli, Shigella flexneri and Salmonella species. This RNA gene was discovered by an RNA screen between the ydiC and ydiH in E. coli. This gene is only 67 bases in length and is composed of a hairpin like structure.
Source: Rfam
AUCCCUUACAGAGCUAACGCCAACACCAUGAGCGCCGGAGAUAAGCGCCGGAAGGGAGACAAGAA